RNAcentral lists this long non-coding RNA (1582 nucleotides) under Lactuca sativa (garden lettuce). RNAcentral's name for it is "long non-coding RNA (LSAT_LNC007146)". The record is from RNAcentral. Lineage: Eukaryota; Viridiplantae; Streptophyta; Magnoliopsida; Asterales; Asteraceae.
GUACUGCUCGGAGAUAGAUCUGAUAGACCUAAACAACGAGUUUCAGAACCUGAAGAAAGGGAAGAUGAGUGUUGAUGAGUAUGUCACCGCAUUCACCGACAGGAUGAAGCUAUUCCCCUACUUGGUGCCUACUCAACUCUCCAAGAUUGAUAGGUUUGCUAACGGACUACCCACUGACUUUGGCAUAAUGGUCAAAAUGGCAACUACCUUGAAAACAGCUGUUAGGGUAGCUAAGAACGUAGAGGCCCAGAUAAGAGAAAAGGGUCUAGAAAAAGAUAAGGCAGGAGAGAAGCGGAAGUUUGAAGGAUCUUUGAGGUCAAACAAGGAAAGUAAAUUCUCAAAGCUUUGAGGAGGAGAUGGAGGUGAAGCAAGAUGGUGUGAUAAAUGUAAGAAGAAGCAUGGUGGGAAGUGCAACAAAGAAGUGACUUGUUACAAGUGUGGGAGGACUGGUCACUAUUCCAAAGACUGCACACAUGAUGAAAAAGUAUGCUACGGAUGUGGAGGCAAGGGGCACAUGUCCAGAGACUGCCCAAGGAAAAAUAAAGCAGCAAGACCAGAAACGCCACCAAGGCCAAGGGCAUUUCACAUGAUCCUCGACGAAGCAGAAAACCAUGCGAGGAAUCAAGGAUGAGGACUUUAUACCCGAAGAUCAAGUUAUGCAGUAGCCAUAGUAUCNNNNNNNNNNNNNUAAAUUCUCCUUAUUCGGUGUAUAGAUCAAGAUGGUAAGGACCCGUAGCGGAAACGUGAACGCAAAUGAAAAUAGGAACCAACCCCCAGUGGUUCAGCAAAUACCUGUUGUAGAAGAAGUUGCACCUGAGCCAGUCACCAUGGCUGGAGUUCAAGCCAUGAUUCGGGCUAUGCUAGCUGAACAAAGGGAAGAAAUGAGGAGGAUGUCAAAUAGGGACGAACCUACUAUGCCCACUGAGCAACCCGAGCUGAUUCCCGAGCAAUCGGAGGAAGGGAACUACAGCCACCAAGUGAGUCAAGUGGGGACUCAAGGUGAUCAAAGGGAUGGCCCGGAGAGGAGAAAUGACAAGGAUGGGCGAAUGUACAAGAAUUUCUUGGGUGCGAAACCACCAAGCCUCUCAGGAAGCCCAAAGCCAGUUGAGAUUAUGGAUUGGAUCUCCGAGAUGGAAAUGGUGUUUGAAAGCUGCGACUGCAGCGAGAAACAGAAGACCGUCUUCGCCGUAAGACAACUUAAAACUGGAGUCUUGAGCUGGUGGAAGCUAUUGGCAGAUACGAUGCCACGAGGAGAAGCCUUAAGGAUUUCAUGGGAAGAGUUCUUGGAACAGUUGAAAAUGCAGUACUGCUCGGAGAUAGAUCUGAUAGACCUAAACAACGAGUUUCAGAACCUGAAGAAAGGGAAGAUGAGUGUUGAUGAGUAUGCCACCACAUUCACUGAGAGGAUGAAGCUAUUCCCCUACUUGGUGCCUACUGAACUCUCCAAGAUUGAUAGGUUUGCUAACGGACUACCCACUGACUUUGGCCUAAUGGUCAAAAUGGCAACUACCUUGAAAACAGCUGUUAGGGUAGCUAAGAACGUAGAGGCCCAGAUAAGAGAAAAGGGUCUAGAAAAAGAUAA